Long non-coding RNA from Oncorhynchus tshawytscha (Chinook salmon), 1423 nucleotides. The record is from Ensembl. Lineage: Eukaryota; Metazoa; Chordata; Actinopteri; Salmoniformes; Salmonidae.
ACAAGCACUGUUUUGAUAUGGUUGUUGGGCUUUUUAAUUAGGUGCACCCUUCCACACUUACACACGGUUUACCUUCAUCAUGCAUCUCCAUUACAUGCCUACUGUCACACUUCACAGCUCUGCCAACCAGGCUCGGUGGGUGACAGGUAAGUGUUUCCACCAAGCUGUUCAAUGCCUGGAGUGGCACGCUGGAACUUCCAGAGGCUUGUAGACCUGAAGCAGUGUGAUGUGAUACAGCUCAACCACAGUCUUCACAGCUGGAGUCGUGUGCCCUGCAACUGCUAAACUGGCCAUGAAAGGUGAUACAGAUCUGCCACCAGGUUUUCAGCUGCAGUCACUAGUCCUCUGCUGUGGUAUUUAAUUUACCGGCUGCACCAGUUCUUACUACACUGGCCACGGUGAGGAAUACCCAGAUGGAUACAGAUCUGCCAUGCACUCCACCACUGCCCGACAGCCUCACCCAGAAGGGAAAUACACUGGGCCUAUCGAGACUGACAAAGCAGAGAUGGGUGGCUAACUAGAGAAAAUAAAACGUAUACACUCUCACACACAUUUGAUUUUGAUUAGUAUGUAAAUAUAUUGUGAUUACUUGUUUAUUUUAUAUGUAUGCUCCAUUUUAUUAUGAUUGGAAAUAUUUAGUCCUACAGAUUGUGUUAUCCAUUUCCCACAAUGGACAUGUGCAGUUGUGCUUACUCACAGUCCAAGUCAUUGUUUUACAGUCUCAAGUCCUAAACUUUGAUUUUCGAGAACUAAACAAGUUACAACGUGCUCUUCACCAAAUGUAAUACCAUUUCAUAUUUUUAACGAGUAAUAGUUAAUUACAUUUACGCAAAUGAAUGCGUAUAAAAAUAUCUAUAUAUUUAUUACUUUCCAAAUAAACAUAUUUCCAUGGAAAUACAUGUGUAGCCAUGAGAAAGAACCCCAGCGGGAGACGUGUGGUAGGCUGGGUCGGGUCGUAUGGGGUGGUUGCUCUCCGGGAGAUGAAUUAAGCAGCAGAGUAUCUGCUGGUCAUCCAACAUGGCAACUCACAUAGAAAUACAUCACCUACAACAGCCUUUGUCGUGUAGAAUUGAGUGUGGAUCUAUAUGUUUCAUUUCUAUCUGGAAAACUAUUUAAAUGCGGCGCCUCAGAUGAAAUAAGCCGCCUUUCUUCAUUAUCAACGGAGAAAGCUCAAAACUGUGGAGGACAGCCGAGAGGGGAAUGGUGGGAUUUGUGUGAAGCAUAAACACAGGUUCAAGCACUCGCCGUAAUCAGCAGGUUAGGAAGAGUACACAACCAUUCUAGGAGGCACUCUGCCACAAAUGUGCUCAUUUGAUCUUUUCCAGCUCCAAACAGCGUGGUGGCGAGUCAAUCUGCAAACCUAAUCUAGGCAAGCAGUGAGGAGCGCACAAAACAAUACAGGCUACAGACAUCACAAGCAGUG